CCUACGGGAGGCAGCAGUGGGGGAUAUUGCACAAUGGAGGGAACUCUGAUGCAGCGACGCCGCGUGAGGGAAGAAGGUUUUCGGAUUGUAAACCUCUGUCUUCGGUGACGAAACGAGAUGGUAGCCGCGGAGGAAGCCACGGCCAACUACGUGCCAGCAGCCGCGGUAAUACGUAGGUGGCAAGCGUUGUCCGGAAUUACUGGGUGUAAAGGGAGUGUAGGCGGAUGUGUAAGAUAGCGGUGAAAUGCCGGGGCUCAACCCCGGAACUGCCAUUAUGACUAUGUAACUAGAGUAAUGGAGAGGAUAGCGGAAUACCCAGUGUAGAGGUGAAAUUCGUAGAUAUUGGGUAGAACACCGGUGGCGAAGGCGGCUAUCUGGCCAUUUACUGACGCUGAGGCUCGAAAGCAUGGGGAUCAAACAGGAUUAGAUACCCUAGUAGUC
RNAcentral lists this ribosomal RNA (441 nucleotides) under uncultured bacterium. RNAcentral's name for it is "partial 16S ribosomal RNA". It matches the Rfam family "Bacterial small subunit ribosomal RNA", at positions 338 to 795 of the family's 1533-position model. The record is from RNAcentral.